Molecule: small nucleolar RNA, 128 nt
Organism: Nannospalax galili (Upper Galilee mountains blind mole rat)
Lineage: Eukaryota; Metazoa; Chordata; Mammalia; Rodentia; Spalacidae
Source: Ensembl
UUCCCCAUUUAUUUGCUGUACAAGUCUCAGUGAUGGAAACAGUUAUUCACAUGGGAUAAAGCAAUAUCUGGCCACUGUAAACUGAAUGGAAGUAAGGACUCUAACUCUUCUGCAUUGUCUAGAUAAUG